RNAcentral lists this long non-coding RNA (3513 nucleotides) under Carassius auratus (goldfish). RNAcentral describes it as "lncRNA (ENSCARG00000018368.1)". The record is from RNAcentral. Lineage: Eukaryota; Metazoa; Chordata; Actinopteri; Cypriniformes; Cyprinidae.
AUGUCUCAACCAGAAAGAGAAGCCCCUGCUGUGCGGCCGAGGAGACGAGUUAACCCUCCAGCCUACUUAGAAGACUUUGAGCUCAGUGGACCUGGGUCUCAGCAACAGCAAUCACGGUCACUUACCUGCCAGGGAGUACUGGAGAAUGAACCAAGUGCUACAGGUCAUUCUAGAUCCACUUCACCAGUGAGCCAAGCAUCAGAACAUUCUGAGUGGAUACUGACUGACCAAUGGGACUACACUUCUGAGAAGCUGAGAGAGGAGAAUGCAGCAUUGCAAAGGCAAGUGAAACAGCUGCCAGAGCUUACAGCCAUGUUAGAGAAGAUGAAGAGGGAGAACGCAGCCUUGAAACGACAAUCCAGCCAACUCCCUGAGAUCAUUUCAGCAUUCCAAGAGAUGCGUCAACAGAAUGCUGCGUUAUGGCAUGAGCUUCAAAGCUUGAAAUCAAAGCAGAGCUCUCCACCCGAGUCGGUCACUCCACAAAUGCCAUUACCACGCUCUCAUUCUCCAGGAGUUAACUUUCAGACUCCACAGCCAUACCGCCCAAUACCAGCUCCACGCUCUAGGUUGCCACCAUCUGCCACUAAGAGACUGCCACACCCAACUAUGCCAGAGGAAAGCUCAGAGCUGACUAAAGAUCUGAGAAACAUGAACAUUUCUUCCUCCCCUCGUGAGAGACCCUCCUUUACAGCACAUUAUAGUGACUCAGCUCAGUUCAGGUAUCCCAACACUUCCACAUAUUCCCAGCCACCUCAGCUGCCUGAGUCCGUGGUCCCAUCACAGGAAAGGAGGAGGUCAGCCCAUGCAGAAUACAGCUCAGAUCAUGUCUUACCCUCAAGUACCCAGGAGAAAAUCUACAGAGGACCAGCCCCUACCAUCCCCUGCCUAACGUCUUCUGAUCCUAGGGAGUUUUCAAGACUGAGAAUUGCAUUAGAGAAUAUCCUGCCUGAAGAUGCCACUGAACGUUUCAAAUUUCAAAUCCUCACAGACCAUCUGAAACUGGAGGAGGCCCUCCUUGUGGCAGACUCUUACAGCAAUUCCAGAUUUCCCUUCACCAACACUAUGAAAGCUCUGGAUAAGAUGUAUGGUCAACCCCACCAAUUAGCACUGCAACGAAUCGCUGAGCUGAUGGAUGGAGCUAAUAUACGCAGUGGAGAUGUAAAGGCCUUCAGGAUGUUCGGACUGCAGGUGCGUUCGCUUGUCAGUAUGUUGCAGCAGCUUGGCCACAAAGGUACUGUAGAGCUGGAAUGUGGAUCACAUGUGUCUCGACUCCUGAGUAAACUGCCACAUGACUUCAGAUCAAGUUUCAAGCGGUACACCCACCCUUUGCAAGUCUCUAUUCCUACUUUGCUGGACUUCGCUGAUUGGUUGGAAUAUGAGCUUCAAGUACAGGAAGACAAUAGCCAGUACGCUUGUUAUACAAGGCAGGAAUCUUCAGUGCAUGGCAGAGAGGUGAGAAGAGAGUCUAAGCAGCUUCACAGACCAACUACCAUUCUCCUUGGUACCGACAAGUCAUAUUCCACAUCAAUGUCGUCAGCCACGUCUAAACCAGCUUCAGUCAGAGAAGAGAAGGUGAGAGCUUAUUGUCCAUACUGUGAUAAUAAUAAACACUAUCUGAAUGGCUGUGACAACUUCAAGCUUCUUAGCAAAGACCUGAAAAUAGACUGGAUAAAGACAAAGAACCGAUGCUGGCGUUGUGGUCGUGGACAUCAAGCGGCUAACUGCACACUAAAGACUUUCUGCCCCACCUGCAACAAGAAGCACCUUAUGGUACUACAUGAUGUCAAUGACCAGGUCAAGCCAUCUCAGCCAAGUGCAGCUCCUUCCAGUGCAGUUUUAUAUGUUGACCGACCAACCUCCGGAAGUAAAGUACUGCUCAAAGUGACUAAGGUUCUGAUAAAGAAUGGCAACGUGGCAAUGGAAGCUUACGCCAUAUUAGACGAUGGAUCAGAGCGGACCAUCAUUCUGCAUGAUGCAGUGCAGAAAUUAAGACUUGUGGGGGAGCCAGAGGACCUUGUACUUCGUACAGUAAGACAGGAUACCCAGGUCAUUCACGGGGCGGCAGUGACUUUUACUGUGUCCCAAACUGUUAACCCCAGCAAAGCUUACAAGAUCCGUAAUGCCUUCACAGCCAAAGCACUCGGUCUGGCAGAACAUACACACCCAGUUAGUGUCCUGCAACAGAAAUUUAAGCAUCUUGCAGGGUUACCUCUACAACAGCUGGACAAGGUACAUCCUGUUCUUCUCAUUGGCUCUGAUUGCCCUCACCUCCUCACACCCAUAGAACCAGUCAGACUGGGACCCCCUGGUGGGCCAGCAGCAGUAAGAACACGUCUGGGAUGGACACUGCAGGGUCCAACUGAAGAAUUGAGCAGUCAUCUUUCCCCUGAUCAAUGCUUCUUCACCUCGCUGCGGCCUGUCAAUGAUCUUUAUGCAAAUGUGGAGAGACUGUGGCAAAUGGAUGUUCUACCCUACCAGAGUGAAAAGGUGAUUACCAGAUCACACCAAGACAAAGAGUCAAUUCAGCUUCUGCAAGAAAACACAGUGAGAGUGGAUGUUAAUGGUAUCCAGCGAUACGCUACUCCUCUGCUCCGUGUCAAGAACAUGCCUCGCCUCUGUGCUCCAAAGGAAGCAGUCCUGCCACAGUUGAGAGGAAUUGAGAAACGGCUGGAAAGGGACCCUGUUCUAACUGCAGCAUACCAAGUGGAGCUGGCCAGGUUAGUGCAAGCUGGUUACGUUGUCAAACUUAGUCAGGAGCAAGUGGACAAAACAAAGGAAGCCUGGUACAUUCCGCACCACAUGGUGCAGCAUAAUGGGAAGAACAGGGUGGUUUUUAACUGUUCAUUCUCAUAUCAAGGACACAACCUGAACGAGCUACUGUUACCUGGACCAACACUUGGUCCAUCUCUCCUGGCAGUCCUUCUGCGUUUCCGGGAGCACUCUGUUGCCAUCAGUAGUGACAUCCGCGGCAUGUUCCAUCAGGUACGCCUCUUGCCACAAGAUAAACCUCUGUUGAGAUACAUCUGGAGAGACAUGCAAAGAGACAGAACCCCAGAUGUCUAUGAAUGGCAGGUACUGCCUUUCGGGACCACUUGCAGUCCGUGUUGUGCAUCGUUUGCUUUACAGAAGCACGUUCUAGAUCACAGCCAGCCUGGAGAGGACACACAAGUUUCAGUGGAGAAGUCAUUCUAUGUGGACAAUUGCCUCCAGAGCUUCACUUCCCGUGACAUGGCCAAGAAUCUGGUAGACAAACUCUGUAACCUUCUAGCAUCUGGUGGCUUUGAGUUACGACAGUGGGCAAGCAAUGACCCUUCAGUUAUCAGCCAUCUGCCAGCGGACAUUCAGUCACCGAGUAGCAUCCUCUGGCUCAGCGAAGGCCACCAAGAAGCUCAGGAAUCAACACUUGGCCUGCACUGGAAUUGCCAAUCAGAUACCCUCUCUUACAAACGACGCAAACCAGACAAUGAAGUGCCCACAAUGCGAAGCAUCUACCAGAUCCUUGCCAGCCAGUAG